RNAcentral lists this ribosomal RNA (494 nucleotides) under uncultured bacterium. Its description in RNAcentral is "partial 16S ribosomal RNA". It matches the Rfam family "Bacterial small subunit ribosomal RNA", at positions 28 to 507 of the family's 1533-position model. The record is from RNAcentral.
GACGAACGCUGGCGGCGUGCUUAACACAUGCAAGUCGAACGGUGAAGCGCCUUCCUUUUUGGUGGGUGUGGAUGAGUGGCGAACGGGUGAGUAACACGUGAGUAACCUGCCCCCUUCUUCUGGAUAACCGCAUGAAAGUGUGGCUAAUACGGGAUAUUCUGGGUCUGUCGCAUGAUGGGUCUGGGAAAGAUAUUGUUUCGGUGGGGGAUGGGCUCGCGGCCUAUCAGCUUGUUGGUGGGGUGAUGGCCUACCAAGGCGGUGACGGGUAGCCGGCCUGAGAGGGUGGACGGUCACACUGGGACUGAGACACGGCCCAGACUCGUACGGGAGGCAGCAGUGGGGAAUAUUGCACAAUGGGCGCAAGCCUGAUGCAGCGACGCCGCGUGAGGGAUGGAGGCCUUCGGGUUGUGAACCUCUUUCGCCAGUGAAGCAGGCCUGCCUCGUUUGUGGGUGGGUUGACGGUAGCUGGAGAAGAAGCGCCGGCUAACUACGUG